Molecule: ribosomal RNA, 563 nt
Filed under: Pachycerus sp. CNC COL VG00009889
Lineage: Eukaryota; Metazoa; Arthropoda; Insecta; Coleoptera; Curculionidae
Description: partial 28S ribosomal RNA
Rfam family: Eukaryotic large subunit ribosomal RNA
Source: RNAcentral
AGCCCUAAGCGGGUGGUAAACUCCAUCUAAGGCUAAAUAUGACCACGAGACCGAUAGCGAACAAGUACCGUGAGGGAAAGUUGAAAAGCACUUUGAAGAGAGAGUUCAAGAGUACGUGAAACCGUUUAGGGGUAAACCUGAGAAACCCGAAAGGUCGAAGGAAGAAAUUCAUUCGCGUUUCGUCGCAGGCGUCGAGCGGGAUCGUGUGACGGGGAGCGUUCGCGCGUUUCCCGCGCCUUCCGUUCUUCGAACCGGUGACGAACGCGUGCACUUUUCUUCUGGUAGGACGUCGCGAUCCGUUGGGUGUCGGUCUACGGCUCGCGGUGGAGCCCGUUCGUCGUAUUUAUCGUACGUACGAACGGACCCGCGUGUCCCGGCUGACUCGCUCGACGGUAUGCGAAAGGUUUAAGGCCGCUCUCGGAGCGUUCGGCUCGCGGCAAGCGCGUCAGAUGCGUCGGCGAUCGGACCCAGUGCCGAUUCUGACCUCUGGUGACUGUUGGCCGCGAAGUUCUCGAACAGACCUUAAGACCGAUCUGCGACGCUAUAGCUUUGGGUACUUUCAG